Molecule: ribosomal RNA, 592 nt
Filed under: uncultured Pseudozyma
Lineage: Eukaryota; Fungi; Basidiomycota; Ustilaginomycetes; Ustilaginales; Ustilaginaceae
Description: LSU rRNA
Rfam family: Eukaryotic large subunit ribosomal RNA
Source: RNAcentral
UAGUACGGCGAGUGAAGAGGGAAGAGCCCAAGAUUGAAAGCUGGCGUCUUCGGCGUCCGCAUUGUAAUCUCAAGAAGUGUUUUCCGCUUCGGACCAUGCCUAAGUCCCUUGGAAAAGGGCAUCAUAGAGGGUGAUAAUCCCGUACAUGGCAUGGAGCGCCCGAAGCUUUGUGAUACGCUUUCUACGAGUCGAGUUGUUUGGGAAUGCAGCUCAAAAUGGGUGGUAAAUGCCAUCUAAGGCUAAAUAUUGGGGAGAGACCGAUAGCGAACAAGUACAGUGAUGGAAAGAUGAAAAGAACUUUGAAAAGAGAGUUAAACAGUACGUGAAAUUGCCAAAAGGGAAGGGUAGGAGGUCAGAGAUGCGUCUUGGGAUUCAGCCUUGCUUUUGCAUGGUGUUUUUCCCAAGUUGCAGGCCAACGUCGGUUUUGGGCACUGGAGAAGGGUAGGAGGAACGUGGCACCUCUCGGGGUGUGUUAUAGCCUCCUACUGGAUACAGCGACCGAGACCGAGGAACGCAGCGUACUCGUAAGAGCGGGCCUUUUGGCACCUUUACGCUUAGGGCGUUGGCAUAAUGGCCCUCUACCACACGUCUU